UCGGGAAUAUUGCGCAAUGGAGGAAACUCUGACGCAGUGACGCCGCGUGCAGGAAGAAGGUUUUCGGAUUGUAAACUGCUUUAGACAGGGAAGAAAAAAUGACAGUACCUGUAGAAUAAGCUCCGGCUAACUACGUGCCAGCAGCCGCGGUAAUACGUAGGGAGCAAGCGUUAUCCGGAUUUAUUGGGUGUAAAGGGUGCGUAGACGGGAAGACAAGUUAGUUGUGAAAUCCCUCGGCUUAACUGAGGAACUGCAACUAAAACCUAUCAUUCUUGAGUGCUGGAGAGGAAAGUGGAAUUCCUAGUGUAGCGGUGAAACUGCGUAGAUAUUAGGAGGAACACCAGUGGCGAAGGCGACUUUCUGGACAGUAACUGACGUUGAGGCACGAAAGUGUGGGGUAGCAAACAGGAUUAGAUACC
This 419-nucleotide ribosomal RNA is filed under the name uncultured bacterium. RNAcentral describes it as "bacterial SSU rRNA". It matches the Rfam family "Bacterial small subunit ribosomal RNA", at positions 355 to 786 of the family's 1533-position model. The record is from RNAcentral.